AUGAACAUUGCAGAGGAUUUGGAUAACCAACCUUCAAAAAAAGCAAAAAAUUCUGAAACAGGUGUUCUGGAGCCAUCACCAAUGUCACCAACUAUGUCAGCAUCUCUCCAAUUUCUGAAUGUUUUGAAUCGAUUGUGCCGGAAUCAGUUUUACCAUUACAUGAUGUUAAGGAACCAGAUUCAAAUAAAGAGAUCAUAG
RNAcentral lists this ribosomal RNA (198 nucleotides) under Triticum aestivum (bread wheat). RNAcentral's name for it is "partial small subunit ribosomal RNA". The record is from RNAcentral. Lineage: Eukaryota; Viridiplantae; Streptophyta; Magnoliopsida; Poales; Poaceae.